UAAAAAAUUUACAAACGAUAUCAAGCCGCACCCUCAAGUUACAGAUUACCGCAACCACAUCAAACCAAACAAGUUCACAAAGGGUAUUGAGCCACAACCUCAAGUUACAGACUACCGCAACGUCGUCGAACCAAACAAGUUCACAAAGAGUAUCAAGCCACAACCUCAAGCGACAAGUUAUGGCAAUAUCAAAAUCUUCACAACAGAUAUCGAGCCGCAACCUCAAGUUUCAAAUUACCGCAACGAGAUCCGUCGGAGCAAGUUGGUGAUGGAAUCUUGAAGUCGAUGUGGUUUAGUUCACUUUUUACCUAUGGUCUUUUGUCGGUUGGAGUGUAAGAAAAAUAAGGUCAAGUAAUUUCAUCCUGAUUAUGUACUUGUAAUGCUAUUUUAGAAAGCAAUUAUAGCUUUCUACUCUAUUUGUACAACUUUUUUAAAUACGACAAUAAAACGCUCUUAGUUAUUAUUCAGAAUACAAGUAAACUUAAAAAAAGAGACGUCAAUCAAA
Molecule: long non-coding RNA, 505 nt
Filed under: Linum usitatissimum (flax)
Lineage: Eukaryota; Viridiplantae; Streptophyta; Magnoliopsida; Malpighiales; Linaceae
Description: long non-coding RNA (LUSI_LNC006876)
Source: RNAcentral